RNAcentral lists this ribosomal RNA (253 nucleotides) under uncultured bacterium. Its description in RNAcentral is "partial 16S ribosomal RNA". It matches the Rfam family "Bacterial small subunit ribosomal RNA", at positions 524 to 776 of the family's 1533-position model. The record is from RNAcentral.
UACGUGGGGUGCAAGCGUUGCUCGGAAUUAUUGGGCGUAAAGGGUAGGUAGGUGGUCUCAUUUGUCUGAGGUGAAAGCCUUGAGCUCAACUCAAGAAGUGCCUUAGAAACGGUGAGACUAGAGUUCUGGAGAGGGUCGUGGAAUUCCCGGUGUAGCGGUGAAAUGCGUAGAGAUCGGGAGGAACACCAGAGGCGAAGGCGGCGACCUGGACAGAUACUGACACUCAACUACGAAAGCGUGGGGAGCAAACAGG